This is a long non-coding RNA of Alnus glutinosa, 715 nucleotides long. RefSeq lists it as uncharacterized. The record is from RefSeq and is a predicted model, not a curated record. The transcript is spliced from 5 exons. Lineage: Eukaryota; Viridiplantae; Streptophyta; Magnoliopsida; Fagales; Betulaceae.
GCCGUCGCCGCGACGCGCUUUCUCCCUCUACGAUCAGAUCAAUCUCAUCGACAACGUCCCUGAAGACCAGCUCCGCUUCCAACGAUACCUUCUUCUCCCGCUUUUUCCCUUCGGAAUGCCAUGAAUUACCACUCGACCAUCACGCUCUUUCUACAACAUUCAAAAUCAAAUCCCUUUUCUCAUUUCAAUCACACAUACUUUGCGUAACUUAGAUCGAAUUGUGUUUGCUUUUGCUAAACUUAGGUAUUCGGAAACGGGGUUCACUGUAAAUGGCGUGGAUUAUGAAGGUGGAUUGCUUUGUGUGGGGAACAUGUUAACGUCUUGGGCUCCAAAGAAAUUCCCAGAGGUCACUCCAGAUAGCUUACCUAUCUUCCAAAUUGUGCGGCCUAUACCAGGUGGUGCUUGGAGGUGGUCAAGAUGCAUCUAAUGUCAAGACCACUGAUCAUCGUGCUGGAAAAUUUGAGGCUAAAUUCUUUGAGAAGAUUCUUCAAGAAGAAAUUGGAGGUGUGAAAGGGCAUUUUGGACCGAUAAAUGCUCUGGCAUUCAACCCUGACGGAAAAAGUUUCUCAAGCGGAGGCGAAGAUGGUUGUGUACGUUUACAUCACUUUGACCCCGAUUACUUCCACAUCAAGAUCUAGAUUUGGAGCAUAAAACUUUCACAUUGAUUGAACGGUGUGGCUGAUUAAUGCCACCCAACAGAGAAGCUUGGCUUGGA